AGGAAACAGCAGUAACAUCUUCUCAGCCUCGUCCUCAAAGGGAGAUUUCCUGUAACAUAAAGAGCAAUGAUUUUUGGCUCAUUUCAUGUUCUAAACACCACCAUCAAAAGCCAGGAAUGUACACGGGAAUUGUGGUCCCUACACUGUCACCUCUCUGUACUAUGUGGAGAAGCCCCACUGCCUGGGUACUGUAAAUGAUGUCAUGAUGGAAACUGAGCAGCACCUGGAGAGGUUGAGAGACAUGGGAGACGUGGACCGAGCAAUGGCUUCCCAGGUCAGC
Rattus norvegicus (Norway rat) is the source of this 280-nucleotide non-coding RNA. NCBI's taxonomy places the organism in Eukaryota, Metazoa, Chordata, Mammalia, Rodentia, Muridae. The record is from RefSeq and is a predicted model, not a curated record.